AUUUGUAUAAUAUAAAUAAUAGUAUAUUUGAUUUCCAAUCAAAAAGUCUAAAUUUAGUACAAAUA
Molecule: transfer RNA, 65 nt
Filed under: Blasticotoma filiceti
Lineage: Eukaryota; Metazoa; Arthropoda; Insecta; Hymenoptera; Blasticotomidae
Description: tRNA-Gly
Source: RNAcentral